Long non-coding RNA from Apis mellifera (honey bee), 928 nucleotides. RefSeq lists it as uncharacterized. The record is from RefSeq and is a predicted model, not a curated record. The transcript has 2 exons. NCBI's taxonomy places the organism in Eukaryota, Metazoa, Arthropoda, Insecta, Hymenoptera, Apidae.
UCCUCUCUGUUGGAACAAAUUGAUUAGGUUAGGUUUAAAUUUUCGCGAAAACUUUAUAUUAUUAGAAUUUUUCGAAAAGAAUCGUAAAAAAAUAAAAGACAGUCGAGUGGAAUUUUACAAAUGUUUCUAUAUAAUGUUAUGAAAAAAUAAAAUGAAAAACGUUUGCCAAAUUUAUUCAUCGAUUCCAACUUUAAAAAUCCACAAAGAAAAUAAAACCUGGAUCAAACGCAAAAUCAAUUGAACACUAACCUCCAAUUUGUUCUUUCCUCUGAAACCGAUCCAGGAGAAGGAGAAAGAGAGGGGACGAAAUGGCAUCGUACACAAAGUUACCAGCAUUUUGAGGAGCUCGUAUAAACGCUCGUGAGAAAAAUGGUUGUUGUAUUUUGCGCGUGGUGGCAGCAUCGUUGGUCGUUGUGCAAUGGCGAAGAAGAAGAAGGGAGCGUGAACAGAGUGACAGAAGGCGAGAUAAUUCUCUUUCCUUAAACAGCUGCAAUUUUCGUGGAACGAUCGUUGAUUGGUUAUCGUUCUGUUAAACAUAUAUAUCCGGGGUUUUAUUGCUACUUGUAUUUGCCUGAUGUUUUACGAGAUUAGUUAGAAGAAACUGCGAAUAAAAUCGGGGAACGAUGAUACCCGGCUACGUUGGGCCCGAUCAUCGAAAGAUUCAUAAUGGCGCGUUAGAUGGAUAUGAGAAGAGGUGUGAAAGUUUUAUGAAGCUGUUUCGGCAAUUGGCUUUAGGUUUUAUGAUUUCAGGGUUGGAUUUCGUUGAACGAUCAAUGGAACGAAUAUUCCCGAUUGCUUUGCCGGAUUGUGGAUUUUGCGAAACGGGGAUACGCAUGUGAUUUAUUUUAAAGGCAUUCAUUAAUCCCUCGAACGAUUAUUACAUUCUAUUUAAAGUCGUUGUAUAAACAGUGGGUACGAAGAUUAUUAA